GGGGGAAUAUUGCACAAUGGGCGCAAGCCUGAUGCAGCCAUGCCGCGUGUGUGAAGAAGGCCUUCGGGUUGUAAAGCACUUUCAGCGAGGAGGAAGGCAGUCGUGUUAAUAGCACGGUUGAUUGACGUUACUCGCAGAAGAAGCACCGGCUAACUCCGUGCCAGCAGCCGCGGUAAUACUGAGGGUGCAAGCGUUAAUCGGAAUUACUGGGCGUAAAGGGCGUGUAGGCGGGCUUGUAAGUCGAAUGUAAAAACCAGGGCUUAACCCUGGGGCUGCGUUCGAAACUGCGAGUCUUGAGUCUGGUGGAGGGUAAUGGAAUUCCUGGUGUAGCGGUGAAAUGCGUAGAGAUCGGGAAGAACACCGAAGGCGAAGGCAGUUACCUAGUGCCGAGACUGACGCU
This 400-nucleotide ribosomal RNA is filed under the name uncultured bacterium. Its description in RNAcentral is "bacterial SSU rRNA". It matches the Rfam family "Bacterial small subunit ribosomal RNA", at positions 355 to 747 of the family's 1533-position model. The record is from RNAcentral.